Molecule: ribosomal RNA, 510 nt
Filed under: uncultured bacterium
Lineage: Bacteria
Description: bacterial SSU rRNA
Rfam family: Bacterial small subunit ribosomal RNA
Source: RNAcentral
GGCUCAGGACGAACGCUGGCGGCGUGCCUAAUACAUGCAAGUCGAGCGGAUCUUCUCCUUCGGGAGAAGGUUAGCGGCGGACGGGUGAGUAACACGUAGGCAACCUGCCCACAAGACCGGGAUAACAUUCGGAAACGAAUGCUAAGACCGGAUACGCAAAGCUGAGGCAUCUCGGCUUUGGGAAACACGGUGUAAGCUGUGGCUUGUGGAUGGGCCUGCGGCGCAUUAGCUAGUUGGUGGGGUAAUGGCCUACCAAGGCGACGAUGCGUAGCCGACCUGAGAGGGUGAACGGCCACACUGGGACUGAGACACGGCCCAGACUCCUACGGGAGGCAGCAGUAGGGAAUCUUCCACAAUGGGCGCAAGCCUGAUGGAGCAACGCCGCGUGAGUGAAGGAAGGCUUUCGGGUCGUAAAGCUCUGUUGCCAGGGAAGAAUAAUGACUAGUUAACUGCUAGUUCGAUGACGGUACCUGAGAAGAAAGCCCCGGCUAACUACGUGCCAGCAGCCGC